RNAcentral lists this ribosomal RNA (397 nucleotides) under uncultured bacterium. RNAcentral describes it as "partial 16S ribosomal RNA". It matches the Rfam family "Bacterial small subunit ribosomal RNA", at positions 523 to 918 of the family's 1533-position model. The record is from RNAcentral.
AUACGUAGGGGGCGAGCGUUGUCCGGAAUGAUUGGGCGUAAAGGGCGCGUAGGCGGCCCGGUAAGUCUGGAGUGAAAGUCCUGUUUUUGAGAUGGGAAUUGCUUUGGAUACUGUCGGGCUUGAGUGCAGGAGAGGUAAGUGGAAUUCCCAGUGUAGCGGUGAAAUGCGUAGAGAUUGGGAGGAACACCAGUGGCGAAGGCGACUUACUGGACUGUAACUGACGCUGAGGCGCGAAAGUGUGGGGAGCAAACAGGAUUAGAUACCCUGGUAGUCCACACUGUAAACGAUGAAUGCCAGGUGUAGGGGGUAUCGACCCCUUCUGUGCCGCAGUCAACACAAUAAGCAUUCCGCCUGGGGAGUACGGCCGCAAGGUUGAAACUCAAAUGAAUUGACGGGG